Molecule: ribosomal RNA, 497 nt
Filed under: uncultured bacterium
Lineage: Bacteria
Description: partial 16S ribosomal RNA
Rfam family: Bacterial small subunit ribosomal RNA
Source: RNAcentral
GAUGAACGCUGGCGGCGUGCCUAAUACAUGCAAGUCGAGCGAACGGACGAGAAGCUUGCUUCUCUGAUGUUAGCGGCGGACGGGUGAGUAACACGUGGAUAACCUACCUAUAAGACUGGGAUAACUUCGGGAAACCGGGGCUAAUACCGGAUAAUAUUUUGAACCGCAUGGUUCAAAAGUGAAAGACGGUCUUGCUGUCACUUAUAGAUGGAUCCGCGCUGCAUUAGCUAGUUGGUAAGGUAACGGCUUACCAAGGCAACGAUGCAUAGCCGACCUGAGAGGGUGAUCGGCCACACUGGAACUGAGACACGGUCCAGACUCCUACGGGAGGCAGCAGUAGGGAAUCUUCCGCAAUGGGCGAAAGCCUGACGGAGCAACGCCGCGUGAGUGAUGAAGGUCUUCGGAUCGCAAAACUCUGUUAUUAGGGAAGAACAUAUGUGUAAGUAACUGUGCACAUCUUGACGGUACCUAAUCAGAAAGCCACGGCUAACUACGUG